AAUCACUGCUAAAUUGAUUAAAAUCAACCUUACUGUGGUUCUGCAGAUUUCAAGUGAAAACCUAAGAAGUGAGAAAUGUGAUUCAACAAUUCCGUUAAAGGCCACCGAAGAACCCAAUUUCCGACGUUAGUAAGAGCCAUGUGUCAGAAUGAGUCCAGCAUAUUGCAGAUGUAUUAACAGCGCUAAGAACAUGUGCACCACUUGGCAGGCUGUGAGAGGCACAUGCGGGCAGCAUCAAGUGCCGAGGCCAGUGCAUGUUAUCAUUAACGACUGUGGACAGACGGAGCAGGCAGAGCACACAAGUGUCCAUUUCACACCAGCCUGGCAUGGCGGCUUGGCUGGUUCCUCAGAAAUCAGCGGUUCUCUGUUUCGCUGCAGCUUCUGGGGAUUUCUGCUUCUCAUCUGUGAAACCGACUGACCCAAGGUUUGCGUUGUCUUUCGUUGAAAACGAGGAAGGUCUCAGCUGAUGUGUAGUUUUGAACUGCAAUGACACAUUGUAUUGCUUAGGAAGUAAUAUGUGUUAAUCUACAGGGUCUGUCUAAUAAAAUAUUGGUUUGAUUAUUAUUAGAGUAUUUUGAGACCCUAAACUACAAAUCUAUAGCAAGAUAAUCAUAGGUAUAGGCCUAGGCUCUGGACAUCAUUCAGACCACCAUGUUCACAUUUUGUAACUUACAAAACAUGUCUAUUUUCUUUUCCAGGCACCUUCACCUUCUGCACGUCACCAGAGAAACAGCCGUGAGCAUGGACUGUGUUCUGCAAGUCCCACAGCAUGCAGAAAGCAGCAUUGCUAAGCAACAGAUGGCAGAUCAGCAGAGAACAGAGGACCACACACUGAGCUGAGAGCAGGUCAUUGGUAUGUAUGAAGGAAAUGGUUGGCGCAAGAAGGGAUUUGUCUACUGGACCCUUGCGUGUCUUGUGACCCUUCAUACUGCUGAACAGAAAGGGAGCAACAAUGUCCUCUCAUAUUUCAGUUGACUGGUAGGAUUUACAGUACUGACAAAACAUUUUCAGAUCAAAAAUGUGUUCCAAAUUAGGUGGCUUUACGUCAGGUUAGUAAGAAUAAGUAUAGAUCACACAUUCAUGACCCAACAUUUUGUGAAAGUGUUUGAAACGGACAAUUUGGUUAUUCUACUUAUAUCCAGGGCUCUUUGUCAUAAUAUUCUUAAACUCUUUUUUCUUUUGUUUUAUCAUGGUGGAUCUGGUUGCCAGGCAGUCUCUGGGAAAGUUUGCUAAAAAAAAAAAAAAAUGGAUGAAAUGGCAAAUGAACUGCAUUGAUAUUUUUUUCUGGGAUUAAACAUUUUAAUCAGAGUCCAGCUUACACCCAGGUGAAAUGCAGCGCCACAACUACCAAAACACACUCUGGUAUAUUUCCAAUCGUGGUUGCAUCCAAGAAAUAACAUGAGAUUUGGGAGGAGUAUGUUUCUUCCACAAACACAACUCUGUUUUAAGAAUCUUAAAUCGGUAUACAAUUUCAAACUAUGUUUAAAAAAAUCUGUAUAGUGUAGUACAAUUUAUUUCAAAUUUGACCAGCCUAUGUAAUUUGAUUUUGACCGAGAGAUGAAUGCAUUCUGGGCAAAAUAAAAAAAAUAAAAAUGUGGAAGCUAAGAAGAUUCUAACUUAAAGAAAUCGGCACAAAUGGGUUGAUCGAUCGAUUCGUUUGUGAAAUAAAACCUACUACCAAUGCCUAUUACAAACUUAAAACAUAACCAGAAAAAAGGAUUUCCUGUCAAAACAAGACAAAAUAGGAGACAUGCUUUUAUUUUCAGUUGGUUAGAUUAUUGUAAUGGUGUUGAUACUGAUGUGUGUAAAAAACAAAUCUGAUUUGCAGCUGCAGUUCAUCCAGUGCUGCUUUCAGAGUCUUGACCAACACCAGGAAAAUCCUUCAGGACAGGUUGAAGAGCUCAAUGUUAAAGUCAAUUCAUAAAAAGCAGUGGAAGGAUUAAAUCACCUUUGCCAAAGGGAGCCCCUCACACAAUCUCUACAUUCUGCAUCUACUGCAUGGAAAGCCCACAUGUUCAUCACCAACACAUUUUUUUUAAAGAUUACAUUGUUUGAGCUUUACCACAGUCCUGAUUGGUUCUUUCUCAUCUCCUCUUCCACAGCCUCCAUCGUGAUCGCUCCUCUUCGGUUCCACGACCACAUGAUGAUGGCGCGUGUCCAUUUCCCUGGAAACACAAUCCUCUCUCAUGAUGACUGCACAUACCUGUUUCCCUGGCAACACUGGCAAAUGUCCAUUUGUUUUCUCACCUCAAGACUUCUGACCAGCCUUUAAAGCCGCAAAGCCUAAAAUCUAUGGCAACCCCUUGUUUGUUAUUUUAUCCUAUACUCUUACUAUCCUAUGUCGUAUACUCCAUGCUUUUUAUGAUUCCUAUUAUCCUUUAGUCUUGAAUACCUUUCCAACUUGCUGAUGGAUAUUAUAGAUCCCUCAGGUGAUCUGAGACAUGUUUAGUCAGUGAACCACAGCAAAAUUCAGGGAAGUAAUAUUUAUAGUUUCUAUGCUUCUCAGCUCUGGUAAAAACUGCAUAUACCUGGCGUGCAGAAACCGCUGACUCCUUCAAAAUCAGGACUAAAAACAUUACUGUUUACUGUAGCUUUUCAAUAAAGGUAAAA
Long non-coding RNA from Fundulus heteroclitus (mummichog), 2610 nucleotides. RefSeq lists it as uncharacterized. The record is from RefSeq and is a predicted model, not a curated record. Lineage: Eukaryota; Metazoa; Chordata; Actinopteri; Cyprinodontiformes; Fundulidae. The transcript is spliced from 3 exons.